GACGAACGCUGGCGGCGUGGAUUAGGCAUGCAAGUCGAACGGUAUCAUCCUUUCGGGGGUGAGAGAGUGGCGAACUGGUGAGUAACACGUAGGUUAUCUACCCUCAAGACGGGGACAACCCAGGGAAACUUGGGCUAAUACCGGAUGUGAGCAACUUUUAGUUGUUUGAAAGGUGGCGUAAGCUGUCGCUUGGGGAUGAGCCUGCGUCCUAUUAGUUAGUUGGUGAGGUAACGGCUCACCUAGGCAAUGAUAGGUAGGCGGCCUUAACGGGUGGUCGCCCACACUGGGAUUGAGAUACGGCCCAGACUCCUACGGGAGGCAGCAGUCGAGAAUAGUCUACAAUGGUCGGAAGACUGAUAGUGCGACGCCGCGUGAACGAUGAAUCCCUUCGGGGUGUAAAGUUCUUUUAUAUGUGAGCAGUGCUUCUUAUAUUAACAGUAUGGGGAGAGAUAUUAGCAUAUGAAUAAGCAACGGCUAACUCCGUG
RNAcentral lists this ribosomal RNA (485 nucleotides) under uncultured bacterium. RNAcentral describes it as "bacterial SSU rRNA". It matches the Rfam family "Bacterial small subunit ribosomal RNA", at positions 28 to 507 of the family's 1533-position model. The record is from RNAcentral.